UACGAAGGGGACUAGCGUUGUUCGGAAUCACUGGGCGUAAAGCGCACGUAGGCGGAUUUGUAAGUCAGGGGUGAAAUCCCGGGGCUCAACCUCGGAACUGCCUUUGAUACUGCGAGUCUUGAGUCCGAUAGAGGUGGGUGGAAUUCCUAGUGUAGAGGUGAAAUUCGUAGAUAUUAGGAAGAACACCAGUGGCGAAGGCGGCCCACUGGAUCGGUACUGACGCUGAGGUGCGGAAAGCGUGGGGAGCAAA
RNAcentral lists this ribosomal RNA (250 nucleotides) under uncultured bacterium. RNAcentral describes it as "partial 16S ribosomal RNA". It matches the Rfam family "Bacterial small subunit ribosomal RNA", at positions 524 to 772 of the family's 1533-position model. The record is from RNAcentral.